RNAcentral lists this ribosomal RNA (1549 nucleotides) under uncultured Streptococcus sp. RNAcentral describes it as "Bacterial small subunit ribosomal RNA". It matches the Rfam family "Bacterial small subunit ribosomal RNA". Lineage: Bacteria; Bacillati; Bacillota; Bacilli; Lactobacillales; Streptococcaceae. The record is from RNAcentral.
AAGUUUGAUCCUGGCUCAGGACGAACGCUGGCGGCGAUGCCUAAUACAUGCAAGUGAUAGAACGCUGAAGGGAGGAGCCUGCUCGCCGGAUGAGUGACCGAACAGGUGAGUAACGCGUAGGUAACCUGCCUGGUGGCGAGAGGUUAACUAACCAGAACUGAUAGCUAAUACCGCAUGACAGUGGAGUAUCGCAUGAUAUCUGCUUGAAAAGGUGCAAUUGCAUCACUACCAGAUGGACCUGCGUUGUAUUAGCUGUAGUUGGUGGUAACGAGCUCACCGGCGACGGCAUAAGCCAAACCUGAGAGGGUGAUCAGCCACACUGGGACUGAGACACAUUUGAGACUCCUGCAGGAGGCAGCGGUAGAAUCUUCGGCAAUGGACGGAAAGUCCCCAGCCGAGACAACGCCGUGAGUGAAGAAAGGUUUUCGGAUCGUGAAAGCUCUGUUGUAAGAGAAGAACGAGUGUGAGGUGGAAAGUUCACACUGCUGACGGUAUCUCACCAGAAAGGACGGCCUUUACACUACGUGCCAACGCUUCGCGGUAAUACGUGGGUCCCGAGCGUUGUCCGGUUUAUUGGGCGUAAAAGACGAGCGCAGGCGGUUGAGAUGAGUCUGAAGUUAAGAAAGCUGUGAGCAACCGCCGUACGCUGAAACUGUUUAGCUUGAGUGCAAGAGGAGGUGGAAUUCCAUGUGCUUGGCGGUGAAAUGCGUAGACACAUGGAGGAGCACUUUUCGGUGGCGAGCAUGACUCUCUGGCUUGCCAACGACUACAGGCUCAGCGUCGAGCGUAAAGGGCAGGAUUGAGUACCCUGGUGGUCCACGCCGUAAUAUCGAUGAGUGCUAGGUAUGGGCCACUUUCGGGGUUUGGAGUGCCGAAAGCUAACGCAUUAAAGCACUCCGCCUGGGGAGUACGACCGCAAGGUUGAAACACAAAGGAAUUGACGGGGCACUGGCAGUGGAGCAGUAGUUUAAUUCCAAACAACGCGAAGAACCUACCAGGUCUUGACAUCCCUCUGACCUCUCUAGAGAUAGAGUUUUCCUUCGGGACAGAGGUGACAGGUGGUGCAUGGUUGUCGUCAGCUCGUGUCGUGAGAUGUUGGGUUAAGUCCCGCAACGAGCGCAACCCCUAUUGUUAGUUGCCAUCAUUCAGUUGGGCACUCUAGCGAGACUGCCGGUACAUAAACCGGAGGAGGUGGGAUGACGUCAAAAUCAUCAUGCCCUUAUGACCUGGGCUACACACGUGCUACAAUGGCUGGUACAACGAGUCGCAGAGUCGGUGACGAAAGCUAAUCUCUUAAAAGCCAGUCUCAGUUCGGAUUGUAGGCUGCAACUCGCCUACAUGAAGUCGGAAUCGCUAGUAAUCGCGGAUCAGCACGCCGCGGUGAAUACGUUCCCGGGCCUUGUACACACCGCCCGUCACACCACGAGAGUUUGUAACACCCGAAGUCGGUGAGGUAACCUGUUUGGAGCCAGCCGCCUAAGGUGGGAUAGAUGAUUGGGGUGAAGUCGUAACAAGGUAGCCGUAUCGGAAGGUGCGGCUGGAUCACUCU